CCAAAACGUCAGCGUGGAUCAUCAUUUGUUGUUGCUUUGCACGGGCUGCGUGCGCUGUUCGGUCUCGUGGUUUUCAUGCCGUGGGAUCGGAAAGUCGUACCAGCCCAAAACUUGCCGCAAGGCGCCUGUUAAGGCAAUGCACUAUAGGGACUUCCCCCUUGUCGAUGCGGUGAUGGAUUCUCCUGUCACCGUGUCAGCCCGGACUUGUCAGCAAUGGCAAGUCCCACCUUGGUCAUAGAUCCUUCAGACGUGGCGCGUAGAGUCCUAGUAGAGAGUACAACCUACGGGUUGUAUGGCGUGGCAGCCAACGGGUUAACUAUUAUUGUAUGUGUAUGUUGUAUUAUGUAUUGUAUGUCUUAUGUUAAACCGUGGUGGAAUUGUGGGUGGAGGUGGGCAAAUAAAACACAAUUCAACAUUCUAA
Molecule: long non-coding RNA, 421 nt
Organism: Daphnia pulex (common water flea)
Lineage: Eukaryota; Metazoa; Arthropoda; Branchiopoda; Diplostraca; Daphniidae
Exons: 2
Source: RefSeq, a predicted model, not a curated record